UACUCUGGCCUUCACAAAUUAUUUCGAACAGAGCAUUGUCUUCUGCACAUUUAUUUGUAAUACGCAAAAUUAAGGUGUCCUGGUUUUGAAGGAUUAUGUUGUUUGUACUAAUGAUAGUGUCAGGAAUCUUGCAUAAUCCUUUUAGAAGGUAUUUAAUUUUCUCAUUUGACUGAAGAAUCUCUCCAAACUCCUGUCUCCGGGUUGACUCAUCUACUCGGGCAAUAUCUGUAGAAAAUAUGCACCGCACAGGCUUGUGAUCACUAUCUGUGACAUCCAUGCAAGCUUCGUACCUAUUGAAAGUGAGAUGAUAAUAAUUAAAAAAAAGGUUGUGCUUCCACUCAUGCUGAUUUGAGUAUUUGAGAGAAUUUAGCCAGAAUCUGUCAUGAGUGGUAAUUGGAUAAGCAAUGGUAGCAGGGAUCCCUCAUUCAUUCAAGAGCAAAAGGUAAUACCAGCUCAUUCUGGCAAAACAUAUUUGGCUAUCUACUAUUUCCCUAUUUUAGAACAUCUAAAGUUCAAUUUUGACUUCCACCGCAGUCCCAUUUAUAUAAUAAAGAGAUCCCUUAUUGAUAGGUAGACAACAAUCAAACCUUAUCCCACUACCCCACUAGGUAGAGUUGGCUACAUGGAUCAAAUGACAAAUGGAAAUAAAUAUACAAAAAAGAGAACUUACUGCAAUACAGAACAGACAACUGGACAGUCUAAAUUGCAGUCAGCCACCAAACAAGGGCGACAAUCACGAUACAAAAUUCUGUCACACCAGGCAGGGAUACGUUUCUUCUCACCAGAAUCAUACCCUUCAAAGAAAGAAUUCAUACAAAUCUGAAAUAUACCCUUCGAAAUCUCGAAGCAGUUAUAGUGAAAGAGAACCUAUUAGCAGUAGUGACUGUUAAUUGAAAAUUGAAAUGAUUCACCUUUCAAUUCAAAUCACACAGCAAGACUGAAUAAGUAGUUACAAUCAUAAAAAAAAAGGUGCACUAGCACACGAGGCUGCCACAUGAUCAAGUCUUGGGCAAAUGUAUGCAGCCUAACCCCCCAAAUGAAGGGGUUUUGACUUGUUUCCAAGAUUUGAACUCAUGAUUACUAGUUCACGUCACUAUACAACAAUCUUAACUAAACCCUACAUUUUGAACAAUUCAUAUAAAGACAAAGAUGAAGAGGAUUGAAAAUCAUUAUUUGUGAGGUGUGAUUGCAAUAGGGAUUUUAAAUACAUCUGGCUUCUUUCAUUCUUUUAUUCCUCUCCUAUACUGUAUGGUAUGCAUGUUAUUGGUCUGUGAAUAAAAAUUCUUAGUAAGUGGAGCUGCAGAAAUGAGGGUGGGCCUCAGCACAACACUAAGGUUGUUUGCCUUGUGACCUAGAGGUCCUGGGUUAAAAUCUUGGAAACAACCUUUUUGCUUGUGAUAGUAAAGUGUUAGAACUGGUAAUCAAGAAUUAAAGAACUGAGUAUGAAGAUGUAUUAUUAUUCAAUAGUCAAGAAUGCACUACAGAUGCUUGAAAGAAUAAUUGAAUGAUUUCUUAUGAAUCAAUUUCCCUCCAAAACUGUCAACUAACAUAUUAUCCCCUCCCCUCCUAAUUACUUCUAUUUAUACUAACUACUAACAGGACCUAACGACAAGUCCGUUAGUGUAAAUUCUGUUUAUUGCGUCUAACAUAUACAUUUUUGAUAGGUGGCUUCGGUUUAAUACCUCCCAUAUCCCUAUCAAUACGGAAUUGAUUCAUAGGGGAUCAUUCGGUUAUUCUUUCAAACUUUGUAGUGCAUUCUUGGCUAUUGAAUAAUAAUACAUCUUCAUACUCAGUUCUUUAAUUCUUUCCAUUCUUGAUUACCAUUUCUAACAUAAAGCUGUAUAUAUCUACCUUCUCCAGACUCCGCUAGGUGAGAGCCUCAUGAAUUGGGUCACCCUUUUUAACUGAAGCUUUAGAAAUGCUCUACUUCUGAUCCAAGAAUAGAGAAGAAAUAUAGCAACCCAAGGCACAUGUUUUACAUUUGAAUCCCAUGUCAAUCAUUCCUCUUUUGAUGAUAAAUAUAUCCCUUUGGUUUAAUCAAACAGGGAUUAGUGUGGGUUAUGAAAUUGACGCAUUGAGUUUCUGAAAUGCCUCAUGUUCACAGACCCUUUGUUUGUGCCUUGGGGAUAUAUUUUACACACAAUAAAAAUAAAAUGGAAGCAUUGGAUUGGUAUGGGGAUCUGUGUGAUCCCUGCGCAGCAGAUUCAGAGUAAAUCCAACAGUGCAGAAGUGAGGGACCAGUUGUUUUAGUAAACAAAGAGACUGUAAUAAUACUAAUUCCGAAGGUUGAGUCACUACGCAAUGGUAAGGUUGCUUGCCCUGUGACCUGAAGGUCAUGGGUUCAAAUCCCGGAAACAACCUCUUCGAUUGCGAGGGUGAGACAGUGUACAUCUCCCUCCCAAAGUCACUAGGUAGGAGCCUUAUGCAUUGGGCCGCCCUAACAAUAUUAUUUCCGUUAUAACACCAGAGUAACAAGUUAAUCCAAUUUAUUUUACAAUAAAAGUGCAAAACAAACCUGCUAAACCAACUUGAUGCCGUUCAAACUUGUAUGUGGGAGGAAAUGUGAUAAUCGCUUCACGCAUUCCUUGGAAGACAUUCCCAGUAUCCAUUUCUGCUCGAAGCUGAUCCCUUUCUCUUAGCCAAUCAAAACACCUUUGAGAAACAAAAUCCCUAGCUUCAUCAUAUGAAAUGCCGUCAAGGCGAUAGUUUAAAUCACCAAGAAACACAACCAUCUCUGCCUCAGAUAACUCAGGCAUCGCUUCUGCGGACUGGACACCAAUCUCCACAAUCAAUGAUUCAUACAAUUUUCUAAAUGCAUAAUGAAUUACUACUUAAGGAAAAAGUACGCAGCAUCUACAUACAUUUGUAACACGAAAUGUUGGAAUAGAAGAUGAAGUGCUAGCUGAAACAGAAACGACCAAUGUCAAGCCAGAUCUAUAAACACACAAAUUAAAUAAAUGGAUAAUGCAAGUAAGCAAAACAGUAAAGGAAAGCAGGGUACCAGCCGCAGCAUUUAAGAAGUUUGUUGGCCGGCUGAAGGACAUUGUUCGGUAUACAUGAUCAAAAUCAGCAUUGCGACGACUAACUGCAUCUAAAUGCGCAGCAAAGUGACAAUUAACAAAGCACAUUAUCCGAUCAUACACUCUAAUCCUCAAACCAACAGCUCCCUGGAGAGACAAUUAUUUCACAAGUCAACGAUCAGAAUAACUAAAACUAACAACUAGAAGAUAAUAGUCUAAAGUUUUCUUGGAAACACAUUGUUUGCACAUUACGCAUACAGGACAUGGUGCAUUAGUGUUGUCAAUACUAAGUACCACUGCCAUGGAAUGGCAUUUAUGUGAGGGAGGGUCACAACCAUAAAAAACCCUAUGGUGUGGCAGUUCAACAGGCACAGCCUUAGCGGUGGCAUCCAUGGCAUAUGACAUGAGUUCAUACUUAGGCAGGACAUCAUGCAAAAGGUUUGCAAUAGUAUCGUUGUGGCAUUGAAUAGUUUAUGUGAUGUACACCCUCCUAGGGCAGCCUUUGAUUCCAAGGGCAAGAUAAGUCAUGAUGGUCCUACAACUAGGGCCAAAGCCAAGGCAGGGAUCCUUAAAGUCUCAAAGGACACAAUUGACCCAGGAGAGGGUAUGUGAGGAGGACAUUUAUGUCCUUAUGUCACUUUAUACUUAGGUUUAUUUUAUUUUCAUUGAUUCAAAUAAAUGAGAUUGCAUUCUCAUAUAGUCUUAGGUUUAUUUUCAUUGUUAGUAUUUAAUUCAUGUAAUAUGGGUUGGGAAUUAUUUGUAACAUUGGUCCAUAUUCAUGACCAAGUAGUUUACUUAGGUUCAAGGGUAAGCCUUUCACGUGGCUAGGGCAAAUGGAAGUCAAUGCAUGAUCAUUUCAAGGAAGGAGGCACGUAAGGAAAUCUAUCUAUAAGGACAAACAAGGAGAUAAGGCAAUUCAGCUAACACUUUAUCUCUAAGGCAAACAAGGAGAUAAGGCAUGGAGGGAAAACGAAUUUAAAAGAAGAUAGGUUUGUUUUAGCAAUUUGAAUUUGAAUUUGAAUUUGAAUUUGGAUUUGAAAGAAGAUAGAUUUGAAUUUGAAUUCAAGGGUAUAUGGCACACGUUUUCAAACUUGGAGAUAAAGAGAAGAUUAUAUGAAGAUUAAAGAGAGAUUAAUCAAUCUCCCAAAGAUGCACACGGCUAGAAACAAGGAAAGAAGAUAGGAAGCUCAAUCUUUUAAGGUGCACAAGGCUAUAAAAUAGGGAAUCCUAAUCUCAUCUCCAACCAACAACAAAUCAGAUUGGAUUCAAAUUAAAUAUGAUUAGUUCCUCAAGAUGAAGUCAAAUUGAUCAAGUCUCUUCCUUCUCCUCAACAAAUUCGGCCAACCAUCCACCAAAACCGAAUUACACUCAAGACUAAGUCAAACAAGCAAUUCAGCUCAACCAAUUGAUAUUACUUAGGAUUUUAUUUUUAUGUUUACUAGAAGAUAAUUUGAUUUCUAUCUUCUAUUUUAUCUAUUCAGCCAAGGCAACUUUGCCUAUUUAUAGUUUGAUCAAAUCAUUAAUAAAGGUUAAGUUUUAUUUUGAGUAAAUUUGAAUUGUUUUAGUUGAGAGCACUUCUCCUAAACCUAGGUUGGCCGUGGCCACCACCAUACUUGUUCUUAUCAAGCAUCCUUGCUUGUGGCGAACCCCAUAGCUUAUCAAGCAGCAUUGCUUGUGGCGCUCCUCACCUUCCAUUCUUUUCCACCUUCACCUUCAUCCUACAAACCAUACACAAACCCUAGCCUAAUUAUACAUCCCAAACCGAAGCCACAUCUACCCCAAAAUUACCCUAAUUCCCCAAAACCGAAUUCACACAUUCACAAAUCUAAGUUCAAGCUAAAACGAUCCUUUAAUUCAAAGGCAGCCCCAAGAGGUUGUCAUCAAGUGGUCAUCAGAGCUAGUUUUGGCUUGAAACCCAAGUCAUGGCCAAUGAGGCCAACCAAAGGACAAACAUCUUCCUUUCUAGGUGUUUGGUCCAAGGAAACAUCUGCCUAUUAAGUAUUGAUGGUGGUUGUACCAACAUGGCUAGUUCAAGGUUAGUUUCAAAACUAAACCUUGAGACUAAACCACAUCCCACUCCUUACCAACUACAAUGGUUAAGUGAGAUUGGGGGGAUUAUUGUGAACCAGCAAGUGGAGGUUCCCUUUUCAAUAGGGAAAUAUGAAGAUGUAGUUCUUUGUGAUGUGGUUCACAUGGAGACCAGCCAUAUACGUUUGGGUCGUCCAUGGCACAUGGAUAAGAGGACCAUCCAUGAUGGAUUUUCAAACAAAUACACUUUUUUUCACCAAAAUCGCCAAAAAAUGGGAUCAGUCUCACCCAAAAAAGUGAGUACUAAAAAGGCCAAAAAAUGACUUGUUGAAUAUUUGAAGCUAGGAUAUAUACAUAUUGCAAACCAUCAAGUAUCGAAAGUUCUCACCAUUGGCAGAAUUGUUUAGCUUACCAAUGACUCAAUCCAGAUUUUGUUUUGGUACAUAACAGGAAGUCUGUUAAAAUGGAUUUCCAUUAUACAAAAUUCCAAGCAAAAUAAUGAGAGAGUAACAAGUAUCAGUGUGUUAGUUACCCAUUCUCUAAAAAGGAAAAACUCAACAAUAGCCAGCUUCGGCUUCAAUAACAACAAAGGCAGUCAAUUUCCCCAUUCAAUUGCUGCUUGUAUUGUUUAGUAUUAUGGUACAGACAUUUACACAAUAAAUUGGACUCAUUUCUUAACAAAUUAAAUAAUGGAUCUAAGAAAAGCUGUUUUGCUUAUUCUUGCCUUGCAUUUGCUUUCUCUAUACAGUUAAAACCAGCUCCAUGAUUAACAGUUUGACUGUGAACUCCCUAUAAAAAAACAGUGCCAAACAUAACCAGGAUGCUAAAUCUAUGAAGUUUUCAUCCUUCCACAAAAUAUAUAAGUAAAUGUUACAAACACUCACAUCAUUUGCUGCCUUUUAAGGGCAAUGCAAAUUAUGUAGUUUGUCAACCACAUCAUAAGAACUGCUGAGACGUUGGAAAUCAGAUCGGCGUAGUACACUUGCUUGGAUAUCGCUGGAGUUGUUUGGUUGAGAUUCUGUUUGGUUUUUCUUGGCUGAAUAACAGUGGUGAACACGGACUCGGUGAUCUCUUGUCUGACUAGUGCAAUUGCCACGCACCUUAACAACCAAAAUAGCUUCCAUGUCUCUGGAGUCUUCACACCAAGAGUUUUGUACAACACCAUCAACAAACUCUUCCAGGGUUUGAAAUUCUUCAUGAUGCACUGAUACCUCAACCAUAUGAUCUGGCCUUAUUAUACCAGUUGCAGGACUUACCUGAAUCAUAAAUGUGCAGGUUAUUACCUAAUGUUGUGUUACAAAUGAUAGGCCUUGUCUGAAGCAAAAAAAGUUUAAUGUUGAUCCACAUAAAAAAAACAUAGCUCCAGGACUAACAUCUUUUGUACUAAAUCCCAAUUAUUGGAGAUUAUUGGAGCCAGUUUUAUGUAGGGUGUGUUGCAGUGUUAUGUGCCGCAUAUGUGCUAUGAUUAAUGCAGUUAUGAGUAGAAUAUGCAUCUUCUAGUUAUUUAAAUUAUCGCUAAAGCAUUGCACAUAUUAAUCCACCUUGAAUCCAAUGUGAUAUCCUCAUUAAACCUUGUAAUUGCUAUAUAGCUUCCAUGUUUGACCUUCUUCGCAUAAAACCAGAUUGGUUCUCUUAGGUAUAGGUCUCUUGUCUUAAUCUACUCUUAAUUAAUAUUUAAUAUAAAUACUAUAUUGUGUAACUUUAGUAUAGGUAAGUAAAAUUUUGAAUUUAAUUUAAUCACUCUGAAAACUAUGAAUGUAACUGAAAUUUUAGGUAUCUAAAUUAACCACUAUUUAUUUGAAUCAAAUAUUUAUCCUUCAAAAUCAAGAUAAAUGAAAAGUAUGCUAAUCAAUAAAGGAAAACUUCGGCAUGGUGGCCACCUUUCUUCUUUUUCUAACUUAUUUAUUUAUUAAAAUAGAAGAAUAGGCUAAUAGAAAUAAAAAAUAAAGAAUGUUAGAAACGUGUAAUAGAAGUUAGCUAUAAGGCUAGUUGAUAUGUUAGACUUAGUAUAACUAUACUGUCAAUUCCUCACUGACUGUUUGUAACAGUACAACAGUGGGAGGAAAUGUUAUAAUCAUUUCACGCAUUCCUUGGAAAUGUACUGCUACAAACAGUCACUAACUAAUGCUACAAACAAGCGACUAUAACAUUUCCAAGGAAUGCAUUUCUGAAGGUACAUUUCAACUGUACUGCUACAAAUAGUUAGUAACUAACUGACAACAACAGUUGUUCUAACAUAUCAACUAGAACAACUAGCCUUAUAGCUAAUUUUUAUUUCACACUUCUAACAAAGAUUAACAUGCUAAAAAAACCUGUCACCAAAAAUAUUUCAUAAAAACGUUCAUUCUAAAAUAUGAGUAUCACCUCAAGCCACCUCGGGAAGCCAAAGGAACCUCUCAAUUGAUGGUUAGAUGCCUUCUGACCCUCCAAAACAGUACUCUGGCCUUCACAAAUUAUUUCGAACAGAGCAUUGUCUUCUGCACAUUUAUUUGUAAUACGCAAAAUUAAGGUGUCCUGGUUUUGAAGGAUUAUGUUGUUUGUACUAAUGAUAGUGUCAGGAAUCUUGCAUAAUCCUUUUAGAAGGUAUUUAAUUUUCUCAUUUGACUGAAGAAUCUCUCCAAACUCCUGUCUCCGGGUUGACUCAUCUACUCGGGCAAUAU
Molecule: long non-coding RNA, 7708 nt
Filed under: Lupinus angustifolius (narrow-leaved blue lupine)
Lineage: Eukaryota; Viridiplantae; Streptophyta; Magnoliopsida; Fabales; Fabaceae
Description: long non-coding RNA (LANG_LNC002901)
Source: RNAcentral